GAAAGAUGGUUCUGCUAUCACUCUUGGAUGGACCUGCGGUGCAUUAGCUAGUUGGUAAGGUAACGGCUUACCAAGGCAAUGAUGCAUAGCCGAGUUGAGAGACUGAUCGGCCACAUUGGGACUGAGACACGGCCCAAACUCCUACGGGAGGCAGCAGUAGGGAAUCUUCCACAAUGGACGAAAGUCUGAUGGAGCAACGCCGCGUGAGUGAAGAAGGGUUUCGGCUCGUAAAGCUCUGUUGGUAGUGAAGAAAGAUAGAGGUAGUAACUGGCCUUUAUUGACGGUAAUUACUUAGAAAGUCACGACUAACUACGUGCCAGCAGCCGCGGUAAUACGUAGGUGGCAAGCGUUGUCCGGAUUUAUUGGGCGUAAAGCGAGUGCAGGCGGUUCAAUAAGUCUGAUGUGAAAGCCUUCGGCUCAACCGGAGAAUUGCAUCAGAAACUGUUGAACUUGAGUGCAGAAGAGGAGAGUGGAACUCCAUGUGUAGCGGUGGAAUGCGUAGAUAUAUGGAAGAACACCGGUGGCGAAGGCGGCUCUCUGGUCUGCAACUGACGCUGAGGCUCGAAAGCAUGGGUAGCGAACAGGAUUAGAUACCCUGGUAGUCCAUGCCGUAAACGAUGAGUGCUAAGUGUUGGGAGGUUUCCGCCUCUCA
This 652-nucleotide ribosomal RNA is filed under the name uncultured bacterium. RNAcentral's name for it is "bacterial SSU rRNA". It matches the Rfam family "Bacterial small subunit ribosomal RNA", at positions 202 to 842 of the family's 1533-position model. The record is from RNAcentral.